This 1408-nucleotide long non-coding RNA is filed under the name Strigops habroptila (Kakapo). RNAcentral's name for it is "lncRNA (ENSSHBG00005009559.1)". Lineage: Eukaryota; Metazoa; Chordata; Aves; Psittaciformes; Psittacidae. The record is from RNAcentral.
UUUCUUUUUUUUUUUGGUUGAAAAAUAUGUCAAGCUCUAGUAUUCAUCCUAUAUUUAGGGAAACUUACUCUCGAAAAAUGACGAUGACACCACCACCCCAACUUUGAUGUCUCUCUUUUUAGUUUGGUCAUUAAAAGAACGGCAGUGAUGGAUGGUGAUAAUGCUGUGGAUUUUAUGAGUAAUCAGGCCUUGGCAGCCACACUAUUUCUUUUGUAGUGAAACUUCAAUAUUCCUUUGGCCGUGUGUAAACUUUUUCUGCUUUUGGAACUACGUUGCACAAGUUACUCACUAAGCAUUACAAAACAGUUAUCACCCAAAAGUUAGCGCUUAAAUUUAACACCUGACAGGCUGAAGUUCCACACACACCCCCCCUCCCCCCAGCACACAGCUCUCCUGUAACAGCCCUUCUGUGUCCCGGCACUGCUGCCUUGGCAGGAGGAGAGCGGAGGAAGGCAGCGGGCUGCUGGCAGGUCCUGGCAGCAGCGAUGAGAUGAAUUGUCCAGCUGUACGGCCAAGCCCUGCACGCAGGACAAGGCACCCCCGGAACCCCUGCUCUCCUCGUCCCCUUUCGCAUGCUUUUUAGUGAAUUUGCUGCAACAAACACCAGGUGUCUCCACUUAGCUGGGCUACAGCUCCAGAAAGGGGGCUGCGACCAAAGAAAAACCCAACAAAACGGGGGGAAAUAUAUUAGGGUGUUUCUUUCCGUUGCUUCUAAUCUGCCUGCUGCAAGGCUGCGUGUGUGCAGGGAAGAAGAGAGCGUAUAUACACGCAGAUAUUCUUGUACCGGCGUCGUAUUUUAUUUUGUCACUUGAUACGCCUCUGUCAGGCGAGGCAGGACUUUCCAGAGUUUGAAAUAAUCCAAAUUCAAUCACUUUAAAGCUGCUACGAUAUGCAAGUCCUGGCAGCCGUUUUAAAUUAAUGGGACAUCAGAUGUGCUCUGAUCCUCUCGAUUUCCUUGGGCAAGAGAAAUUCUGCCGCAGUGGUAGCGGGAGGGGAAAUAUAGGGCUAUCAGUAAAAUAAAUGUCAGCUUUUGUCUGCUGAUAGAAAAAUGCAUACAGCAAAAAAAGAAAAACACCCCCACAAUAUUUAUUUCUCUGUAAUUAAAAUGUAUUUCUAUAUGCAGCAAGGAUUAUCUCAGUGGUUUGGACAAGCAACACUGUGCAGCCUGAUCCACAUGAACACACAUUAAACCAAAAUACAAAAUUGCUUUUCAUUCGGUGUUGUACAAAUACAGCUAAAUAUUUUGUUUCGGUCUAGAUGUUUAUUUUUUGUGCCUGCUGGCCUGUUUAUCAAUAAAAAUGUUGGAAUUCCCACCUUGAAAGCCCAGUUCCAUAGCAUAGGUGGGAUUUUGGCAGGAACUGGGGGGAAAAAAACCAAACCAAAAAACUCCAUAGCAGGGUGCCAGCCC